Molecule: long non-coding RNA, 1317 nt
Filed under: Numida meleagris (helmeted guineafowl)
Lineage: Eukaryota; Metazoa; Chordata; Aves; Galliformes; Numididae
Description: lncRNA (ENSNMEG00000001642.1)
Source: RNAcentral
AUUUUUAAUAAGCAAUUUUGCCAACAUGUUUACUGGAAAGAUUACAACAUCUUCCUGUGCUGAGAAAACCCAAAGGGCCCAUUUAUCCCUGUAUUCUUGUUUGAACAGAGGGUCACGCUGCAGCCAAGGGGCUGCCGUUUCCCCCAGAAGGCAGGUCUGAGAUUUGCCUUCACACAGCACUAUGUCUGCGGGAGAGAAACUCCUUUCUCAGAGGAUACUGGAGUCAUCCCAAGCAAAUGGAACACCAGCAGCACAGAUGGACUGAGAACGACAGUCAGAGUCGCUGUGAUUUAAUAACCAUAGAUGCGGGAAGAGGAGGCUGAGCAUCCUGGUUCUAUUUGCUGUGCACGCCGUGAGUUGACAUGGGUUUAACCAAGAAAGGGCAAGGAACCCAAACAGCGUAAGAAAAGCAAACUGAACUGAGGCAAAGAAUGCUUUGUCCUAUCUCCGGUUCAGCCCUCAGGUGAUCAGGCUUUGCAUGCUUUUAAUUUGACGGCCAGGGAUAUUUGAGAAAACGUUCUGAGAACAAACGUGGCUGAAUAUUGAGCGUGACACAGAGUGUCACAAACGCUUAAAGCUUCAUGUCCUUCAGCCAACGGAGGGAGAUGUGAAGGGAACGAGUGUUUUCCGUCGGAACCAGGACGCGAGAACGUCCUCGCGUGAACGUGAGCCCCGGGACCGGGGGUCCUGUUGGAGCGAAGGGGGUGAGAAGGCCGGGGCUGCGGCUGCCAGCGGGAGAGGAGCGGCGAGAGCGGAGCGUGUGCGGCUGCGGCGCGGGGAGGCGGGCGGCGGGCGGGUAGGAGGCUGGUGCGAGCUGUUUGGCCACCGGAGCCAAUCGAAAGCUGGGGCUUGAUCCUCUUCUCGGGCAGUGGCUGAGAGGAGUCAGUGCCGAGCUCCCUUCUGCAGCCGGGACCCGGCCGAGCCGCCUCGCUGUCUCCCGGCACCGCGCUCUCCCACCGGGCGCCUAUGGGCAUCUGCAGCGAGCGAGGGCUUCGCACCACCGCCAGCGGCAGCGCCAGCGGGCGAGGACCGCGACCCCGCUCCACUCCGCCUUUGGACCUAUAGCCGGCAGUACGGAGCGCGCUGCGGACCCUUCCUCGCCUCACCGCAGGGGUUGUCUACUCCAUACUCAAUUCCAAUACAUAGCUGCUUUGUGGAAUGAAGUGCAGACUGACUUUUAAGGAACAAGAAGAGGUUGACAGGCAGAGAAGAUGGGAAAUACGUGAACAUACUCUGUGUUACUAUUGCAUGAGUUAAUGGAUUCAUCCAGUAAAGUCUCUGAAUAAAGAGAGAGAUUGCUCUCUCUUGUAUUUUGAU